Molecule: long non-coding RNA, 704 nt
Organism: Callorhinchus milii (elephant shark)
Lineage: Eukaryota; Metazoa; Chordata; Chondrichthyes; Chimaeriformes; Callorhinchidae
Exons: 2
Source: RefSeq, a predicted model, not a curated record
UUGAUUGGAGACGAGACUGACCCAAAUAGAAGUAAUCCGCAGGUUCCUUGACGAGAGGGGCUGUUUAAUAAGGGAGGGCCCCUCCGUUGUGUAUAUGGAGUCAGACGCCUGGACCAGAGCUGAAAUUCGCAUCAGGAAUCGGUAAAAUGCCAGCUUGAUGUGUCACACAUGCAGAAGGAACCAAUGGCGGGAAGCAGGAGUCCAAAUGGGAGUAACCAACACUGCGGAGUUUGCAAUAUUGCAGGUCGGACGAUUGGAGAUUGCUAUGAGUUUUUGAGAAAAGCUGUGACAUUGAUUGAUCCCUUGAAAUAGCUAGAGCUGAAGCUAGUUACCGUGAGAUGCACACAUUUCCUUUUAAAAUACAAAAGCAGGGGGUUGUUGCCUGGAAUAGCAAUGCAAUUCGAGUGCCACAUACCAAAACUGGUAAGAUAAAAUGUGCCUUAUCAAGGUAAAAUCAAAGGCUAGUGAGCUUCCUUUAGUAGUUUGUUGGCAAGGUACUUCGUCUCACACAAACAAAAGGUGUGAAGCAAUUUCAAGUUAAAUAAGCAGUGUCCAACAGUCAAACAGGAAUGUAAAACUUUGAGAAAUCUGUCAGAAAAUACAGUAUAGAGAGUAGCAGUCAGUCUCUCAGCCUUUGGCAAGACAUUGCCUUGUGCGCUCAUAUGUUUUCUGUAUCAUACCAUUAAAUGUUAGACUUCAAUCAA